This 406-nucleotide ribosomal RNA is filed under the name uncultured bacterium. RNAcentral describes it as "partial 16S ribosomal RNA". It matches the Rfam family "Bacterial small subunit ribosomal RNA", at positions 30 to 526 of the family's 1533-position model. The record is from RNAcentral.
AUUGAACGCUGGCGGCAGGCCUCACACAUGCAAGUCGGGCUAGCGGCGGACGGGUGAGUAAUGGAUUGGGAUAUGCCUGAUGGCGGGGGAUAACUACUGGAAACGGUAGCUCAUACCGCAUACCGUCCGCGGAACCCAUAUGGGAUUAGCUUGUAGGUAAGGUAACGGCUUACGUAGGCGACGAGCCCUAGCUGGUCUGAGAGGAUGAUCAGCCACACUGGGACUGAGACACGGCCCAGACUCCUACGUGAGGCAGCAGUGGGGAAUAUUGCACAAUGGGCGCAAGCCUGAUGCAGCCAUGCCGCGUGUAUGAAGAAGGCCUUCGGGUUGUAAAGUACUUUCAGUCGGGAGGCGUUACCGACAGAAGAAGCACCGGCUAACUCCGUGCCAGCAGCGGCGGUAAUAC